This 170-nucleotide ribosomal RNA is filed under the name uncultured bacterium. Its description in RNAcentral is "partial 16S ribosomal RNA". It matches the Rfam family "Bacterial small subunit ribosomal RNA", at positions 338 to 525 of the family's 1533-position model. The record is from RNAcentral.
CCUACGGGAGGCAGCAGUGGAGAAUAUUGGACAAUGGGCGAAAGCCUGAUCCAGCCAUGCCGCGUGAGUGAUGAAGGCCUUAGGGUUGUAAAGCUCUCUUGCCCGGGAAGAUAAUGACGGUACCGGGAGAAUAAGCCCCGGCUAACUUCGUGCCAGCAGCCGCGGUAAUA